CCUCUGGCGACCUACACACAGAGGUGGGGCCAAAUCCAAAGCUGAGCCCCUGGGAGCUGUGAGAACAAAGAAGAGAAAGGGAAAUCUCUCCCAGCAGCCUCAGAAGCAGCAGAUCACAGCUCCACAAUCAACUUGAUGCCCCCUGCAUCUGUGGAAUACAUGAAUAGACAGCAAAUCAUCCCAAAUGGAGGAGGUGGACUUUGAGAGCAAGAUUUAUGAUUUUUUCCCCUCCUCCUCUUUUUGUGAGUGUGUAUGUGUAUGCUUCUGUAUGAGAUUUUGUCUGUAUAGCUUUGCUUCCACCAUUUGUCCUAAGGUUCUAUCCGUCCGUAUUUUUUGUU
This is a long non-coding RNA of Orcinus orca (killer whale), 338 nucleotides long. RefSeq lists it as uncharacterized. NCBI's taxonomy places the organism in Eukaryota, Metazoa, Chordata, Mammalia, Artiodactyla, Delphinidae. The transcript has 2 exons. The record is from RefSeq and is a predicted model, not a curated record.